GGUUGUGUAGUGUAGUGGUCAUCACACUGGAUUUUGACACUUCAAUCGUUCAAAGUCCUUCCAGUAACCCCGGUUCGAACCCGGGCACGACCU
Podospora fimiseda is the source of this 93-nucleotide non-coding RNA. NCBI's taxonomy places the organism in Eukaryota, Fungi, Ascomycota, Sordariomycetes, Sordariales, Podosporaceae. The record is from the annotation of a GenBank genome assembly.